ACGAAGGGUGCAAGCGUUACUCGGAAUUACUGGGCGUAAAGCGUGCGUAGGUGGUUGAUUAAGUCUGUUGUGAAAGCCCCGGGCUCAACCUGGGAAUUGCAGUGGAGACUGAGGGGCUAGAGUGUGGUAGAGGGGACUGGAAUUCCUGGUGUAGCAGUGAAAUGCGUAGAGAUCAGGAGGAACACCAGUGGCGAAGGCGGCUACCUGGACCAGCACUGACGCUGAGGCACGAAGGCGUGGGGAUCAAACGG
This 251-nucleotide ribosomal RNA is filed under the name uncultured prokaryote. Its description in RNAcentral is "partial 16S rRNA". It matches the Rfam family "Bacterial small subunit ribosomal RNA", at positions 525 to 775 of the family's 1533-position model. The record is from RNAcentral.